Molecule: long non-coding RNA, 2298 nt
Filed under: Mus musculus (house mouse)
Lineage: Eukaryota; Metazoa; Chordata; Mammalia; Rodentia; Muridae
Description: long non-coding RNA chr3:69333508-69335806
Source: RNAcentral
UCCUGAGGGCAAAGACCAGAGAGCCUACCAGCUGCCCGAGAGCUGCUCCCGGGCCUCCCCUUAGAGUCACAGGCCCUCCUGUGGUUCGCAGUGCUGCAUAGAGACAGAAGUUGUUUAUUCCCAAGGCUGUUGUAGUGCAAACAGAUUUAGACAUGAAAAGUCGCAGGCAAGCAUGCAUUUUGGAAUAUUGCUUAAGAGGAAAUUCUUUGAAAAGACAAAUAAUGUUUUGUUUUGUUUCGUUGUCCCCUCUGAAAAAGGGUUCCUCUGCACAGAGAAACCCUGUCUCAAAGAACCAAAGUCGGAUAAGAGUGUUUGUGCUUUGCCAGAGAGAUGUCCUCACCCCAGGUGCAAGUAGGGAUAGAGACAAUUGUUCUCUUCAUUAAAAAGCAAUCACCAUUGAUAUCAUUUAGUCAGAGUCCACAAUCCGGUCUCGGCAGGUUCCACUGAGGCGCGGUUGACACACUGUGAGUUCCUUAUUUAAUCGUGCCGUUCGAUCAGCUUUGUGCAGAGUUGUGGAACCAUCACUACAGCCAGAUAACCUCUGCCCUCCUCUGCUGCCCUCUGCCACGGGACAGCCUUUAGUCUGCCUUUCACUACUACAGCUGGCGUGGAUUCUAUAAUAAUUUCUGUUCAUGUAAGCACACAGUGUGUGUUUUUUUAAUUUCAUUUUGAGAUCCCUGUUGUUUCACCUUUCAGUAAUUCACUCUCUUGAAAAUGAUGCACUAGUUUAUAGUUCAUCAUUAAAAUUAAAAGGAGAUUUAUUUUUAUUUUAUGUGUGUUGCCUGUAUGUAUGUAUGUACGUAUGUAUAUAUGUACAUAUGUAUAUAUGUCUUAUAUAUGAAUGUGCACCAUAUGUGUGCCUGGGGCCCUUGGAGGUCAGAAGAAGGUGACAUAGCCCCUGGAACUGGAGUUCUAUAUAGAUUUGUGUGGACCGCCACAUUGGCUCUGGGAAUUGAAGCUGGGCUUGUUGUAAGGGCAGCAAGUGCUCUUAACCACAGGAACAACUCUCUCCAGCCCAGCCAAUCCAUAUUUAUUCCUGAGUUGUGUUCUAGUAUAUGGAAACUUCAGAUUUUGUAAAAAAUAUGAUGGGUGAUGGCAGCCCACACCUUUAGUCCCAGCACUCUAGGGCAGAGGAAGGCGGAUCUCUGAGUUUGAGGCCAGUCUGGUCUGUAGUACACUUUAGGUUAUACCUUUAGGUUUUUACCCACAUAUAUACCUGUAGUACACUUUAGGUUAUACCUUUAGGUUUUUACCCACAUAUAUAAUAGUAAAAUGCAAACAUUUCUCAUAUUUCUAAUAUAUAUUGUAUAACUUUAAAAUUUGAAAUUAUAGUUUCAAAUUUACAGAGAGGUUAUGUGGGCAUUUAGGAUGAAAAAUCCCUCACCCAGAAUACUUCAGACAGAAGUAUUUAUGAUUAUUAGAUUUUGAGAUAUUGAUACAGGCUCUCCCCAUGAAGCCUUGCUAAUCUGGACGUCUCAGAUCUAAAACUAAGCUUCGAGCUACUGCUUUUAGGGCUGUGGAUGCUCAGAUGAGGGAUGUCCAGCCUGGGUAAGAACCUCCCACGUGCUCCUUAUUCAGCUUCGGCCCUGUUCGUUUAGAGUGCAUUGUCGGUUGACCUUGUGUUGGACCAAUCCAACACAGAGAAUUAGCUGAGGUAUGGGGAGAUAAAAUAAGGACAUAGCACUUUAUUUUAUGCUGAAUUUAUUCCCGGGCCAUGAGUUUUUGUUUCUUCAGUUUCUUCUGGGAUAUCUUUUUCUCCUCCUCUUCUGGCUUUGGAAAGAUCUGUUCCCUCUCAGUGAGGAUCAUCUCACUGUGGCAGGGGGAGCUCAUGUAUGGGUUAAUCCGGCCAUGAGCUCUGUAGGUUUGUCAGUGCAUCUUAGGUGCCUUGUUCACCUGGAUGUGUUUAAUGACUAGAGAAUCUACGUCUAAACCCUUAAGUUCGGCAUUCCUCUCUGCAUUUUUAAGCAUGUGCAGCAAAAAUUCAGCACUCUUUUUUUUUUGGCCACUGUCCCUGUGUCCAGCCCUACUGUUUGGCCUGGGCGCACCUACCGACUCCACCAUUAUACCUCCGGAAUGGCACACAUUGCUUCUUUAAAGUGACAUCCUUCAGAUACUUGGUGGCUUUGUGGAUAUGCAUACCCUUGAUGGCCUGGGCAGUUUCCUAGGUGUUCUAAAAGUGAACACGAAGGUUUGGACCUCUUGAUUUGCAUGAUUUUGUGGGGUUUUCUGGGUCAAGAGAGUAGCGAACCAUCUUCGCAGGUGACCUCUGGCUGCUUACAGGAAGAGCCCGUCACCUUU